This is an unclassified non-coding RNA of Aotus nancymaae (Ma's night monkey), 297 nucleotides long. It matches the Rfam family "Metazoan signal recognition particle RNA". Rfam says of the family: The signal recognition particle (SRP) is a universally conserved ribonucleoprotein. It is involved in the co-translational targeting of proteins to membranes. NCBI's taxonomy places the organism in Eukaryota, Metazoa, Chordata, Mammalia, Primates, Aotidae. The record is from Ensembl.
GUCUGGUGCUGUGGCACAUCCUGUAGUCUCAGCUACACUACAGGCUGGGGCAGGAGAAUUUCUUGAGGUCAAGAGUUCUGGCCUGGAGUAUGCUAUGUCAAUUAGGUGUCCACCCUGAGUUCCACAGCAGUAUGGUGAUCUCCCAGGAGUGGGGGACAACCAGGUUGCCUCAGGAGGGGUGAACUGGCAAAGGCAAGAAAUGGAGAAGGUUAAAACUCCCGUGCUGAUCAAUAGUGGGACUGUACUGUGAAUAGCCACUGCACUCCCUCUUGGGCAAUGUAGCAAGACCUCAUUUUU